Molecule: long non-coding RNA, 1079 nt
Organism: Mus musculus (house mouse)
Lineage: Eukaryota; Metazoa; Chordata; Mammalia; Rodentia; Muridae
Product: predicted gene, 30601
Exons: 2
Source: RefSeq, a predicted model, not a curated record
UCCCCAGAAGCUAUCUAAGAAGGGCAAGCAAAGAGCAGUUGUCCACGGUGCUCCUCUACCCUGAUGUGGCAAGAACCCCCCACUCCUUGGGGUCACAGUCAGGCUGGGGAAGCUGUGGGCAGGCGCGACCUCAGUCGGAAUUCCCCUGGGUGAUACUUUCAUCCCGCCUCACGCCCACAGCGCUCCCUCCUAGAGCUACUGCGCCCGCCCACGCGGUGAUGUCAUCACCCGGGUGUCGGGCGCGCGCGGACGGUCCGCCCACGGAACCCGGGCGCGCUCUGUGCCAGAGUCGCGCACCUGUGGCGGCCGCCAGAGUCCGUGGGCAUGCGCGCUGCUACGGGGAGGCUCCUGAGCUCGCAAGCGGAGAUCCGGUUCUCCUAGUUGGAACCUGAGGCAGGCUGUGUGGGCCGUGGGGGAGCAAGGAUAGAGGAUGGUGAGGGUUUGCUCCAGAGAUGGGGAGGAGCCAGUGCAGUUCUUUUGCUUUGGGUGUGCACUGAGAGUUGGGUUCAUCUGCAGAAUCGAAAAGCCUAGGCAAAGUGAGAUGCGUUUAAUCCUAACCUAGGAGCACCUUUAGCAUACACGCCCAGAGCCUGAGGCCAGAGUCACUAAGUACAAAGCACCUGGGUGCCAGGGACCCAGGGAAGGCUUUCUUUGUUACUAUUUUUUCCACUCCACCAAUAAUUCUGUGGUGCAGGUAUAAUUGGGUUCCUAAUUAACUUGCCUACGCGUCACACAGAAGAGCCGGAGUUGAGGUUUCUACGAGGUUGGUCUGAUAACAAAGUUCAAAGCUGCCCAUCAGACACGAAGUCAAGACUGUGUUAAAAUAAGACCGAGAACACAUUCUGAAGAUACACGGCAAGUUGUGAGGCCUAUGCUAUGAUGCACCGGAACAAUGUGCCCCUGAGUAACAGUGUGCACCACGGCUGCGCAGCCAGAAACAUCGGUACCCAUAAAACAGAUCUAUAAAAUAGAGGGUUUAUUCUAGCCCGUGUCUAUCUGAGAGAGGCCGCUAUGGUGAAUGCUGGUUCCUUACCUGUGGUCCCACUAGAGAGAAAUAAACAUUUAUGAUUCCAAAUCCA